RNAcentral lists this ribosomal RNA (874 nucleotides) under uncultured soil bacterium. RNAcentral describes it as "bacterial SSU rRNA". It matches the Rfam family "Bacterial small subunit ribosomal RNA", at positions 79 to 952 of the family's 1533-position model. The record is from RNAcentral.
UGAACCUCGCGCGCAUCUAAAGGUGAGAGGCGCAAGGGUGAGUAAGGCGACGGUAACCAACCCCACGGUUGGGCAUAGCCGCGGGAAACCGCGGGUAAUUCCCAGCGAUGUUGCGAGGGGGCAUCUCUUUGCAACCAAAGUUCCGGCGCCGUGGGACGGGCCGUCGUGGUAUUAGCUAGUUGGCGGGGUGACGGCCCACCAAGGCUGCGAUGCCUACCGGGCGUGCGAGCGUGGCCCGGCACACUGGGACUGAGACACUGCCCAGACUCCUACGGGAGGCUGCAGUCGAGAAUCUUCGGCAAUGGGCGCAAGCCUGACCGAGCGACGCCGCGUGGAGGACGAAGGCCUUCGGGUUGUAAACUCCUGUCGAGGGGGAGGAAGGGGCAACCUUGACCGAUCCCUGGAGGAAGCACGGGCUAAGUUCGUGCCAGCAGCCGCGGUAAGACGAACCGUGCGAACGUUAUUCGGAAUCACUGGGCUUAAAGCGCGUGUAGGCGGGAGGGCACGUCGGUUGCUGAAAUCCCCCGGCUCAACCGGGGAACGGGCACCGAUACGACCGUCCUGGAGGGGGGUAGGGGGAGCUGGAACUUCCGGUGGAGCGGUGAAAUGCGUUGAGAUCGGAAGGAACGCCCGUGGCGAAAGCGAGCUCCUGGACCCUUACUGACGCUGAGACGCGAAAGCCAGGGGAGCGAACGGGAUUAGAUACCCCGGUAGUCCUGGCUGUAAACGAUGGGCACUGGGUAGGGGGCUCGCCGAUGGGCUCCCUGCCGCAGGGAAACCGUGAAGUGCCCCGCCUGGGGAGUAUGGUCGCAAGGCUGAAACUCAAAGGAAUUGACGGGGGCUCACACAAGCGGUGGAGUAUGUGGCUUAAUUC